CGCGGUAAUACGGAGGAUCCAAGCGUUAUCCGGAUUUAUUGGGUUUAAAGGGUGCGUAGGCGGCCUGUUAAGUCAGGGGUGAAAGACGGUAGCUCAACUAUCGCAGUGCCCUUGAUACUGAUGGGCUUGAAUGGACUAGAGGUAGGCGGAAUGAGACAAGUAGCGGUGAAAUGCAUAGAUAUGUCUCAGAACACCGAUUGCGAAGGCAGCUUACUAUGGUCUUAUUGACGCUGAGGCACGAAAGCGUGGGGAUCAAACAGGAUUAGAUACCCUGGUAGUCCACGCCCUAAACGAUGAACACUCGCUGUUGGCGAUACACAGUCAGCGGCUAAGCGAAAGCGUUAAGUGUUCCACCUGGGGAGUACGCCCGCAAGGGUGAAACUCAAAGGAAUUGACGGGGGCCCGCACAAGCGGAGGAGCAUGUGGUUUAAUUCGAUGAUACGCGAGGAACCUUACCCGGGCUUGAAAGUUAGUGAAUGAUCCAGAGAUGGAUCAGUGAGCAAUCACACGAAACUAGGUGCUGCAUGGCUGUCGUCAGCUCGUGCCGUGAGGUGUUGGGUUAAGUCCCGCAACGAGCGCAACCCCUAUGUUUAGUUGCCAGCACGUGAUGGUGGGGACUCUAAACAGACUGCCUGUGCAAACAGAGAGGAAGGAGGGGACGACGUCAAGUCAUCAUGGCCCUUACGUCCGGGGCUACACACGUGCUACAAUGGACGGUACAGAGGGCAGCUACAUAGCAAUAUGAUGCGAAUCUCACAAAGCCGUUCACAGUUCGGAUUGGGGUCUGCAACUCGACCCCAUGAAGUUGGAUUCGCUAGUAAUCGCGUAUCAGCAAUGACGCGGUGAAUACGUUCCCGGGCCUUGUACACACCGCCCGUCAAGCCAUGGAAGUUGGGGGUACCUAAAGUAUGUAACCGCAAGGAGCGUCCUAGGGUAAAACCGAUAACUGGGGCUAAGUCGUAACAAGGUAACC
RNAcentral lists this ribosomal RNA (973 nucleotides) under bacterium K02. RNAcentral describes it as "bacterial SSU rRNA". It matches the Rfam family "Bacterial small subunit ribosomal RNA", at positions 516 to 1501 of the family's 1533-position model. The record is from RNAcentral.